UGGGCAACCUGCCCUCAGCUCUGGGAUAACUCCAAGAAAUUGGGGCUAAUACCGGAUAUGACUGCUGACCGCAUGAUCGGAGGUGGAAAGCUCCGGCGGAGAAGGAUGAGCUCGCGGCCUAUCAGCUAGUUGGUGUGGGUAAUGGCCCACAAGGCGAGACGGGUAGCCGGCCUGAGAGGGUGACCGGCCACACUGUGACUGAGACACGGCCCAGACCUNUACGGGAG
This 227-nucleotide ribosomal RNA is filed under the name uncultured bacterium. RNAcentral's name for it is "partial 16S ribosomal RNA". It matches the Rfam family "Bacterial small subunit ribosomal RNA", at positions 118 to 347 of the family's 1533-position model. The record is from RNAcentral.